RNAcentral lists this transfer RNA (72 nucleotides) under Ornithorhynchus anatinus (platypus). It matches the Rfam family "tRNA". From Rfam's summary of the family: Transfer RNA (tRNA) molecules are approximately 80 nucleotides in length. Their secondary structure includes four short double-helical elements and three loops (D, anti-codon, and T loops). Lineage: Eukaryota; Metazoa; Chordata; Mammalia; Monotremata; Ornithorhynchidae. The record is from Rfam by way of RNAcentral.
GAUCCAGUGGUUCAGUGGAAAGAGCCUGGGUUUAGGACCCAGAGGUCAUGGGUUCUAAUCCCGACUCCACCA